CUGGCUCAGAUUGAACGCUGGCGGCGUGCUUAACACAUGCAAGUCGCGCGUGAAAGUCCUUCGGGAUGAGUAAAGCGGCGCACGGGUGAGUAACGCGUGGAUGAUCUACCCAUGAGUUGGGAAUAACGGUUGGAAACGAUCGCUAAUACCCGGUACGUUCCGAUUUCAACUUCGGGAGAAAGGGGGCCUCUGCUUGCAAGCUUCUGCUCAUGGAUGAGUCCGCGUCCCAUUAGCUAGUUGGUGAGGUAACGGCUCACCAAGGCAUCGAUGGGUAGCCGGUCUGAGAGGAUGACCGGCCACACUGGGACUGGAACACGGCCCAGACUCCUACGGGAAGCAGCAGUGGGGAAUAUUGCGCAAUGGGCGAAAGCCUGACGCAGCGACGCCGCGUGAGGGAUGAAGGUCUUCGGAUCGUAAACCUCUGUCAAGAGGGAAGAAACGUCAGGGUGCUAAUCAGCCCUGAUCUGACGGUACCUCUAAAGGAAGCACCGGCUAACUCCGUGCCAGCCGCCGC
Molecule: ribosomal RNA, 514 nt
Filed under: uncultured bacterium
Lineage: Bacteria
Description: bacterial SSU rRNA
Rfam family: Bacterial small subunit ribosomal RNA
Source: RNAcentral